CCAGAACAGGCAAAGUUUUCACUUCCGUUCUCAGAACGUAACUUAUGGUUAUGUUCCCAGAACCAAUGGGAAAUCCAAAACUUAUGUUCCCACAACUACCAAGGAACCAAAUGUGCUAGCUGGGUAGAAGCCUAGAAACCAAAUAAACAUUAUCUGGGAAGAGGAGUGGCAGCAGAGAAACGAAACUUGGACAGACUGCUGAAAACAAAACUGAAGGGAAAGAAGAAACGUUGUGUGGCACAGAGCCACAGCCCGAUCACGCCCACACACACAAUGCAGGCUGAGGGUGUUAGCUGCUUUCCUGUGGCUCUCAGCAUUGCAAUGACAGAUGAGGAGGAGGGGAGUGUUUUUUCAAGGUAUAAAAGGGGGUUACAAUGUUUGAUCUGUCCUUUUUAUCCUGCGGAGCCCUCCGCUUAAGGAUUUGGGUGAGUUUCCUUUCCAUCGAGAUUUAAGAGCUUGUAUAGAGACUGAUUUGUUUUACGUGCUUUGUCAUUCCGUUUGUAUACAUUUCAACCUCAUCAAACCCAAAUAUUGUGUUUGUUUUGUUGUAAAUUUACAGUUACAGGAAUAGGUUACUGUUUUUUCAAAUGUCUAUAGUACAAGAUAACUUUGACAAGACUAUAAUACAUGGUAAGAGCAUUUGUUAAACAUCAAUGCUGUACCAGGGGGAUGUAUCACUGUCGCCUGCGUCACUCACAUCAAUUUGUGCAUCCUUCCUUGUGUUGCAGGACUGGUGACCCUCUGUCAGGUCACUAUGGAGUUCCCACUCUGUCUGCUUGCUGUGUAUUUUCUUUGAAGAGGAGGAGAGGAGGAGGAGGAAAGGAGAUGAAAAGCCUGCUCCCAAGGGCAGGUCACUGGGUCCCUGGCCAUGUCCUGGUAGGGGGUGUUGGGAGUCUGUCCCCUAGCAGGUUCUGACCCUCAGCAUGACCUCGCAGGACCCAGUCAGUCGGGCCUGGUGAGCAGAGCCAGGAGCUGCAGAUCAGCUGAUCCGCAGCGACCUUGACGCACCGACGAACCCAAGCACCAGACACCUGAAGACACCUGAGACGACUAGAUGAAGCUCAUCCGAAGCACAAAGCUUAUAUUACUUACCUGAAUACUUAAACGAAAUGUACCCUAGAAUGCCGCCAGAUGAAGAACCAUUCUUUUCUUUUUUUGGUUGGCUUCUGGUUGUCUGCGUUGCUUGGUUUCGGCGGGUCAUGGGGGGCCUGCUGAAGAAAACGCAUUCCCAAAUACACUACAAUGCUGAACGCAUAAUUUCCAUGAAAAUUUAAAAUUUUAAAUAAAAAUUUAAAAAAACAUUGCAACAUGAACAACCUUAUCUGUGCCGUUUGUUCUGUAGUUGUCAUUUUGGGUAUUUAUACACUGAUAUUGAUGCCACAUUGCAGAGAACAGCUGUUUUAACAUCGCAAAUAAUACUUACAGUUGGUAGUGUAGUGCAAGUAAAUAAUAUCCAAGCCACUUGAAACAUCUUUAAACUCAUACAUACUGACAAUUUAAUAUCCGUCUCAGAGCAUUAUUUUGUUUGACUUUUUUCUACUUCGUUUUAUGUAGGCC
Oncorhynchus tshawytscha (Chinook salmon) is the source of this 1557-nucleotide long non-coding RNA. The record is from Ensembl. NCBI's taxonomy places the organism in Eukaryota, Metazoa, Chordata, Actinopteri, Salmoniformes, Salmonidae.